GAGACCGAUCCAAAUCCGAUAUUGUGUGUAUACUAUUCUGUGUUAUUGUUGUGCCCCACGAAAGGCACGAAAACAUGAUAAAGCAUGUGAUGUGGGGAAGAAUCACUCGACAAGUUUUGGUUUCGUGAACAACAAAGGCCCCGGAGGGUGGAUUUAUAUUUACAAACAGUGUGCAGGGUGGCAAGCCGGUGUGGGUAGGCUGGUGCGCAACGGUGCUCUUCAGUGCUCAAUCCAAGCGAAAGUGGGUGUCCAAACGUGCUCCAAAAGUGGUGGGCUGUCGGUCACUCGCUGCUUUCUGGAGAGAAAAUGAGAGCGAGCGUUAGUCCAGCGUUUCAUCGGCUCGAGACCAGUGUCUGUCUUGUCUGCUCAGCAGGUGCUGCUUAAGAGCCGUGUUCUAACGAGAUGCAGCGGUGACCGAUCAGCCGGCGGUGAGGACGUGCAGGUGUGCCUCGUUGGUUGCCAGGGCGACACUGAUUCCUCCUAGGACGCUCGUCACAUUCCCCCACCUAAGCGUCACUCUGGUCCUGUGGACAAACGGUGAAAGUAGGGGUGAAGUUAGGGGAGGGCGGGAAAUGACCUCCGACAGACCUGCAUAAGCUGUCCAGAUUCGUGAGAGGCCAUCCGCAUUCGCGUUGGCGGCCCCGGCCCGAUGGCGCACCUCAAAGUGGAAGUCCUGGAGCGCUAAGAACCAGCGAGUCACCCUGGCGUUGGUGUCCUUGGAGCGGGCCAUCCCUUGUAGGGGCGCAUGGUCGGUUACCAGGGUGAACUUGCGUCCCAGAAGGUAGUACCGCAGCUCCAGGACUGCCCACUUGAUGGCCAGGGCCUCCUUCUCCACGACGGCGUAGUUCUUCUCGGCCGGGGACAGCUUCCUGCUGAUAUAGAUGACCGGAUGCUCCUCGCCUUCCUGGACUUGGGACAGGACUGCUCCCAGUCCUGCAUCGGAGGCAUCCGUCUGCAACAGGAAGGGGCAGCUGAAGUCCGGAGCGCGAAGGACAGGUGCGGACGUGAACGCUGUCUUGAUCUGGCCGAAGGCCUCUUCUGCCGAUGGUGUCCAGCAUACUUUCUCCGGCUGCCCCUUCCUGGUCAGGUCUGUCAGGGGGGCGGCUAAAGAGGAGAAGUUGGACCUCUUCCUCAAUAGCCUGCCGACGAGCUUCCGGGACACGGUAGGGCCGUUGCCUGACGACGACUCCUGGGGUGUCCUAAUGUCGUGCUGUAGCACGUUGGUCUGCCCGGGCUGGGAGGAGAACACAUCCUGGAACUGACUGACCAGGUGCUGCAGCUCCGUCUUCUGGGCCGCCGAGAGAUGGGGGUCGACAUCCACAACCACGGGUUCGGUGAGGCUCAGGGCAGCUACUUGGUCCCGGGUCCCCACCCACUUCUUCAGGAGGUUGAUGUGAUAGAGUUGCUCCGUCUGCCGCCGUCCCGGCUGUCUCAACCGGUAUGUGAUGGGUCCCACUCUCUCCACCACCGAGUAGGGCCCUUUCCAGGAGGCCAGGAACUUGCAGGCGGAGCUGGGGACCAGGACCAUGACGCGGUCUCCGGGUUGGAACUCCCGUGGUUGUGCUGCCCGGUUGUAGUGACGUUGCUGCGCUUGUUGGGCCCUGGUGAGGUGUUCCCGGACUAACGGCAUCACUCGGUCGAUCCGUUCCCUCAUGUGUCGGACAUGUUCGACGAUGGUGCGAUGAGGGGCAGGCUGCUGCUCCCACGCUUCCCGGGCCACGUCCAAGAGCCCCCGUGGUUGACGGCCGAACAGGAGCUCGAAGGGGGUGAAGCCAGUUGAGGCCUGAGGAACUUCGCGGAUCCCAAAGAGCACAUAGGGGAUCAUGAGGUCCUAAUCCCACUUGUCCUCCGCUGCCACGCGUCUAAGCAUUUGCUUGAGGGUUUGGUUAAAUCUCUCCACGAGCCCAUCCGUCUGAGGGUGAUAGACUGUGGUCCUCAACUGCUUUACCCGCAGCAGCCUGCAGAGGUCCGCCAUUAGCCGGGACAUGAAUGGGGUCCCCUGGUCAGUCAGGAUCUCCGAGGGGAGGCCGACUCGGCUGGCCAGCAGAAACAGCUCCUGGGCGAUGGACUUCGCGGUGGCCUUCCGCAGGGGGACUGCUUCUGGGUACCGGGUGGCGUAGUCGACGAUGACCAGGAUGUGCUCAUGCCCCCGGGCAGACUUCAGCAACGGUCCCACUAUGUCCAUUCCAAUCCGCUCGAAGGGCACCUCGAUGAUAGGCAGCGGGAUGAGUGGGCUGGGGGGAGGGGUCCUGGGCGACGUGGCCUGACAGGUCGGGCAGGCUUGGCAGAACCGCUUUACUUCGGCCUCCAGGCCCGGCCAGUGGAAGCGGUCGCGGAUGCGUUGGGUGGUAUUGGCUGCCGCGAGGUGACCUGCCAUGGGGUGGGAAUGUGCCAGCUCCAGGAUGGUCUUGGUCUUGGCUCGAGGCACUACUAGCAACCUUUUCUCCUCCCCCCUUCGCUGUGCGACACAGUACAGCUGGCCGUUCUCUACGACCAAAUGUGGGAGAGGGUGGGGCUGGGGACGGACGUCUUCUCCAUCCACGACUCGCACUUGUGCCCAACAGUGCUUGAGUCGGUCGUCCUCUCGCUGUUCCCUGGCGAACGAGCCCCCUCCAGCAGCCUGUUGGUACACCUCAUAAAACAAGUUAGUAGGCUGGGAGGGGGACUCACCUUCUCUCCCACUGUCGGAGGCGAGCAGCGCCGGACGGCGGCGGGGUGCUCGAGGCCGUCUCCAUCUCCGAUGGUUCCCCUCGGGGCUGGCAGGCUGAGUAGCGGCGGUGAGCAGUCUGUCGAAGCCGGGCCAAUCCCUUCCCAGCAGUACGGCCACCGGUAGGUCCUUCACCAGGCCAACCUCCACCGGCCAGGCGCCUUGGGGGGAUGAAAUGGUGAUUCUCCGGGCCGGUACUUGGCGAGUGUCUCCAUGUACACAGGUAAUCAGGAGGAAGCUUUUCUGGCCGCUUCGAGGGGGGCACAACCGUGACUGGAUGAAGGUGACCGCACUGCCUGAGUCCAGCAGGGCCCGGAAACCUUUCCCUUCCACCGUCACCUCUGCUUCGGGGGCUCCCGAUGGUAUGCGCUGGUGGACGAUGCAGCCUGCCAGCCAUGCUCGUUAUCGUUGACUUGAUUGCAAAUUAUUGCACAGAUACUAUUUAAACUGAACUGAGCUGCAUGAUGACAUGACUGAAUUCAAUGAUGAACUGCCUUUAACUGUCAUUUUGCAUUACUGACACACUGUUUUCCUAAUUAAUGUUGUUCAGUUGCUUUGAUGCAAUCUUUUUUUGUUUAAAGAGCUAUAUAAGUAAAGGUGACUUGACUUUGGUCUGACUCCAUCUGUUUGUUUCACCAGGCCAAAGAUCAGGUAUAACAGGAAAAAGGUAUCCCAUGCAGUUGUAACGUGCAGUUGUAAGCAUGCACAAUUUGAGGUAAGUGAUGUGGCGGGAGGAGCAAACGACAGACACAGUGGGGGUGGCGUCAGGCCUCGGAGAGGCUUUUAUUAACAAAAUAAAACCAAAACAGGGAAAUAAAAGUGUCCAAAAGUGGAGGUGUGUCCAAAAUAAACAGGGAAUAUGGUGUCCUCGUCGUGCUGCAGGUUUCAUGUAGGUAGGGCAGUGUUCAGGAGGGAAGAGUCCAGGUAAGGGGCGGAGUCCGGCGGCCGCACGCGCUCCCCUCUUCGGUCCGGGGUGUGAGGGGCGGUGGCUUCUUCUAGCGGCUGCAUCCUUCUCGCUGGCCGCGGCCCUUGAAGGGGAUAGACGGCCGGCAUUCUGGCCUGAUGGCCGUGUAAACGGGUGCGGUUCUCAUCUGGACCGUGGGUCUGGCAGCUCACGUCUCUGGCAGCACAGGAAUCCCUCUACGCACCCUUCCUGGACCCACGAGGACACCAGUGUGCAUGCACAGGGAAGAGACCGGUCUCCCGAGGAGAGGCGCGUUGGGCUUUUUAAACAUGAGGCUCCAUUUACACCAGGUGUGCCCCAUCACACGCUGCCAGCCCUGGCUCGUCCAGUGCCCGUCCUCUCUCACACACCCACUCCUGUCAGGAGCCUGGUGAAGGGUGGCGAUUUGGGAUGGGGUGCCGAUGAUAAUUGGGGGGAGGCAGCUGACUCGUCACAGUGAUCUUUCCACCUUUCCCUUUCCUUGUCUGCCAGUGUCCUUAACAUUUGUAACAGGGUUCAAUUGAACAGUUGCCUUGGCUUGCCUUUUAUGGCAAUGUUCGAGAGUGGCCAACUGUUGGAGGGUGCAGAAGAGCUCUUUUUCAAACUCAUGGACCUGGUUGUGAUGUAAUUUUGCCAGAUAUCCAAAGCACAGAAUGUUAUCUUUGAAUAAGCGGUCAGCUGCAGUCCAUCCCAACUUUUUGGUCCAUGACCACCGGGAUACAUUCAUAUUCUCUGCUGCUUGGCUCUAGUUGCAAGUAGUCAGUGCAUACCAGCUCCAUGGAUGAGUGUGUGGCUGUUUUAUACACGUUUUGGUCAUAUACUCCUCCAGUUGGAGGUGUUCGAGUGCCACCUUCUUGCACUUGCUCAUAAUCCAAAUUGUUUUCUUUCACUUGUUAUUCAGUAUAGGAUUCCUCCUUCAAGGUGCAGCUUGUUCGUUCAUCACCAUUCUGCUGGUCAGACCUGCCCACAUUUCAUCCAUGAGUGUAACAACC
Molecule: long non-coding RNA, 4642 nt
Organism: Cyprinus carpio carpio
Lineage: Eukaryota; Metazoa; Chordata; Actinopteri; Cypriniformes; Cyprinidae
Source: Ensembl